This 500-nucleotide ribosomal RNA is filed under the name uncultured bacterium. RNAcentral's name for it is "partial 16S ribosomal RNA". It matches the Rfam family "Bacterial small subunit ribosomal RNA", at positions 30 to 523 of the family's 1533-position model. The record is from RNAcentral.
AUUGAACGCUGGCGGAAUGCUUUACACAUGCAAGUCGAACGGCAGCACGGACUUCGGUCUGGUGGCGAGUGGCGAACGGGUGAGUAAUGUAUCGGAACGUGCCCAGUCGUGGGGGAUAACGUAGUGAAAAUUACGCUAAUACCGCAUACGAUCUAUGGAUGAAAGCGGGGGAUCGCAAGACCUCGCGCGAUUGGAGCGGCCGAUAUCAGAUUAGGUAGUUGGUGGGGUAAAGGCCCACCAAGCCAACGAUCUGUAGCUGGUCUGAGAGGACGACCAGCCACACUGGAACUGAGACACGGUCCAGACUCCUACGGGAGGCAGCAGUGGGGAAUUUUGGACAAUGGGCGCAAGCCUGAUCCAGCCAUUCCGCGUGCAGGAUGAAGGCCCUCGGGUUGUAAACUGCUUUUGUACAGGACGAAAAGGUUUCUACUAAUACUAGGAGCUCAUGACGGUACUGUAAGAAUAAGCACCGGCUAACUACGUGCCAGCAGCCGCGGUAA